RNAcentral lists this microRNA precursor (56 nucleotides) under Solanum tuberosum (potato). Its description in RNAcentral is "miR8009 stem-loop (stu-MIR8009)". Lineage: Eukaryota; Viridiplantae; Streptophyta; Magnoliopsida; Solanales; Solanaceae. The record is from miRBase by way of RNAcentral.
UGUCCGUCGCUUUUUUAAGUUUUUAAAAUAAAAUUUCCAGAAAAGCGACGGACAGU